RNAcentral lists this ribosomal RNA (250 nucleotides) under uncultured bacterium. Its description in RNAcentral is "partial 16S ribosomal RNA". It matches the Rfam family "Bacterial small subunit ribosomal RNA", at positions 524 to 776 of the family's 1533-position model. The record is from RNAcentral.
UACAGAGGGGCAAGCGUUAUUCGGAAUUAUUGGGCGUAAAGGGCGCGUAGGCGGCUUUGCAAGUGGCGGGUGAAAUCCCUCGGCUUAACCGAGGAACUGCCUGCCAGACUGUGAGGCUUGAGACCGGGAGAGGUGAGUGGAAUUCCCAGUGUAGCGGUGAAAUGCGUAGAUAUUGGGAGGAACACCAGUGGCGAAGGCGGCUCACUGGACCGGAACUGACGCUGAGGCGCGAAAGCGUGGGAGCAACAGG